GACGAACGCUGGCGGCGUGCUUAACACAUGCAAGUCGAACGGAAAGGCCUCUUUCGGGGGGUACUCGAGUGGCGAACGGGUGAGUAACACGUGAGUAACCUGCCCUUGACUUUGGGAUAACUUCAGGAAACUGGGGCUAAUACCGGAUAGGAGCUCCUGCUGCAUGGUGGGGGUUGGAGAGUUUCGGCGGUUGGGGAUGGACUCGCGGCUUAUCAGCUUGUUGGUGGGGUAGUGGCUUACCAAGGCCUUGACGGGUAGCCGGCCUGAGAGGGUGAACGGCCACAUUGGGACUGAGAUACGGCCCAGACUCCUACGGGAGGCAGCAGUGGGGAAUAUUGCACAAUGGGUGGAAGCCUGAUGCAGCGACGCCGUGUGGGGGAUGACGGCCUUCGGGUUGUAAACCGCUUUCGCUCAUGACGAAGCUUUGUGUGACGGUAGUGGGUAAAGAAGCACCGGCUAACUACGUG
Molecule: ribosomal RNA, 467 nt
Filed under: uncultured bacterium
Lineage: Bacteria
Description: partial 16S ribosomal RNA
Rfam family: Bacterial small subunit ribosomal RNA
Source: RNAcentral